GACGGAGGGUGCUAGCGUUGUUCGGAAUCACUGGGCGUAAAGGGCGCGCAGGCGGCCGCCCGCGUCGGACGUGAAAGCCCGGGGCUCAACCCCGGAACGGCGUCCGAUACGGGGCGGCUCGAGGCCGGGAGAGGGGGGUGGAAUACCCAGUGUAGAGGUGAAAUUCGUAGAUAUUGGGUGGAACACCGGUGGCGAAGGCGGCGACCUGGUCCUUUACUGACGCUGAGGCGCGAAAGCGUGGGGAGCAAACAGG
RNAcentral lists this ribosomal RNA (253 nucleotides) under uncultured bacterium. RNAcentral's name for it is "partial 16S ribosomal RNA". It matches the Rfam family "Bacterial small subunit ribosomal RNA", at positions 524 to 776 of the family's 1533-position model. The record is from RNAcentral.